GACGAACGCUGGCGGCGUGCCUAAUACAUGCAAGUCGAACGCACUGACGGAGAACUUGUUCUCUUGACGUGAGUGGCGCACGGGUGAGUAACACGUGGGAAACCUACCCUUCAGCGGGGGAUAACCAUCGGAAACGAUGACUAAUACCGCAUAGACGACAGAACCGCCUGGUUCAAUCGGGAAAGACGGCUUCGGCUGUCACUGAAGGAUGGUCCCGCGCUGCAUUAGCUAGUUGGUAAGGUAACGGCUUACCAAGGCGAUGAUGCAUAGCCGACCUGAGAGGGUGAUCGGCCACAUUGGGACUGAGACACGGCCCAA
Molecule: ribosomal RNA, 318 nt
Filed under: uncultured bacterium
Lineage: Bacteria
Also listed under: 1 other name
Description: bacterial SSU rRNA
Rfam family: Bacterial small subunit ribosomal RNA
Source: RNAcentral